Molecule: ribosomal RNA, 538 nt
Filed under: uncultured bacterium
Lineage: Bacteria
Description: bacterial SSU rRNA
Rfam family: Bacterial small subunit ribosomal RNA
Source: RNAcentral
UGAACGCUGGCGGCGUGCCUACACAUGCAAGUCGAGCGGUAACAGGUGUAGCAAUACAUGCUGACGAGCGGCGAACGGGUGAGUAAUGCUUCGGAAUCUGCCCAAUGGUGGGGAAUAACCAGCCGAAAGGUUGGCUAAUACCGCAUAAGUCCUACGGGGGAAAGCAGGGGAUCGCAAGACCUUGCGCCGAUGGAUGAGCCGAAGUCGGAUUAGCUAGUUGGUAGGGUAACGGCCUACCAAGGCGACGAUCCGUAGCUGGUCUGAGAGGACGACCAGCCACACUGGGACUGAGACACGGCCCAGACUCCUACGGGAGGCAGCAGUGGGGAAUAUUGGACAAUGGGGGAAACCCUGAUCCAGCGACGCCGCGUGUGUGAAGAAGGCCUGCGGGUUGUAAAGCACUUUUAGGGGGGAUGAAAAGCUCAGGGCUAACACCUCUGGGUCUUGACCUAACCCAAAGAAAAAGCACCGGCUAACUCUGUGCCAGCAGCCGCGGUAAUACAGAGGGUGCGAGCGUGAAUCGGAAUUACUGGACGUA